AUACGGAGGUGGCAAGCGUUGCUCGGAAUCACUGGGCUUAAAGGGCGUGUAGGCGGUGAAUUAAGUCGGGUGUGAAAUCCCUCGGCUCAACCGAGGAAUUGCAUUCGAAACUGGUUUACUAGAGUGCGGGAGGGGAGAGUGGAACUCCAGGUGUAGCGGUGAAAUGUGUAGAUAUCUGGAGGAACGCCGGUGGCGAAAGCGACUCUCUGGCCCGAUACUGACGCUGAGGCGCGAAAGCCAGGGUAGCGAACGGGAUUAGAAACCCCAGUAGUCC
This 274-nucleotide ribosomal RNA is filed under the name uncultured bacterium. RNAcentral describes it as "partial 16S ribosomal RNA". It matches the Rfam family "Bacterial small subunit ribosomal RNA", at positions 523 to 796 of the family's 1533-position model. The record is from RNAcentral.